CGCGAAUCGCCCUUCGGGGUGCACCAGGCGCGAAAACUUUACAAUGCGGGAAACCGUGAUAAGGGGACACCGAGUGUCAGCGUCAUACGCUGGCUGUCCAGGUGUGUAAAAUACACCUGUUAGCAAGGGCCGGGCAAGACCGGUGCCAGCCGCCGCGGUAACACCGGCGGCCCGAGUGGUGAUCGUGAUUAUUGGGUCUAAAGGGUCCGUAGCCGGUUUGGUCAGUCCUCCGGGAAAUCUGAUAGCUCAACUAUUAGGCUAUCGGGGGAUACUACCAGACUUGGAGCCGGGAGAGGUAAGAGGUACUACAGGGGUAGGAGUGAAAUCUUGUAAUCCCUGUGGGACCACCUGUGGCGAAGGCGUCUUACCAGAACGGGUUCGACGGUGAGGGACGAAAGCUGGGGGCACGAACCGGAUUAGAUACCCGGGUAGUCCCAGCCGUAAACGAUGCUCGCUAGGUGUCAGGCAUGGCGCGACCGUGUCUGGUGCCGCAGGGAAGCCGUGAAGCGAGCCACCUGGGAAGUACGGCCGCAAGGCUGAAACUUAAAGGAAUUGGCGGGGGAGCAC
RNAcentral lists this ribosomal RNA (567 nucleotides) under uncultured archaeon. Its description in RNAcentral is "bacterial SSU rRNA". It matches the Rfam family "Archaeal small subunit ribosomal RNA", at positions 312 to 879 of the family's 1478-position model. The record is from RNAcentral.